Molecule: ribosomal RNA, 919 nt
Filed under: uncultured bacterium
Lineage: Bacteria
Description: bacterial SSU rRNA
Rfam family: Bacterial small subunit ribosomal RNA
Source: RNAcentral
ACGCUGGCGGCAGGCUUAACACAUGCAAGUCGAACGGUAGCAGGAGAAAGCUUGCUUUCUUGCUGACGAGUGGCGGACGGGUGAGUAAUGCUUGGGAAUCUGGCUUAUGGAGGGGGAUAACUACGGGAAACUGUAGCUAAUACCGCGUAGUGUCGAGAGACGAAAGUGCGGGACCGCAAGGCCGCAUGCCAUGAGAUGAGCCCAAGUGGGAUUAGGUAGUUGGUGGGGUAAAGGCCUACCAAGCCUGCGAUCUCUAGCUGGUCUGAGAGGAUGGCCAGCCACACUGGAACUGAGACACGGUCCAGACUCCUACGGGAGGCAGCAGUGGGGAAUAUUGCGCAAUGGGGGGAGCCCUGACGCAGCCAUGCCGCGUGAAUGAAGAAGGCCUUCGGGUUGUAAAGUUCUUUCGGUAUUGAGGAAGGUUGAUGUGUUAAUAGUACAUCAAAUUGACGUUAAAUACAGAAGAAGCACCGGCUAACUCCGUGCCAGCAGCCGCGGUAAUACGGAGGGUGCGAGCGUUAAUCGGAAUAACUGGGCGUAAAGGGCACGCAGGCGGUUAUUUAAGUGAGGUGUGAAAGCCCCGGGCUUAACCUGGGAAUUGCAUUUCAGACUGGGUAACUAGAGUACUUUAGGGAGGGGUAGAAUUCCACGUGUAGCGGUGAAAUGCGUAGAGAUGUGGAGGAAUACCGAAGGCGAAGGCAGCCCCUUGGGAAUGUACUGACGCUCAUGUGCGAAAGCGUGGGGAGCAAACAGGAUUAGAUACCCUGGUAGUCCACGCUGUAAACGCUGUCGAUUUGGGGAUUGGGCUUAAAGCUUGGUGCCCGUAGCUAACGUGAUAAAUCGACCGCCUGGGGAGUACGGCCGCAAGGUUAAAACUCAAAUGAAUUGACGGGGGCCCGCACAAGCGGUGGAGCAUGUG